UACGUAGGGUGCGAGCGUUAAUCGGAAUUACUGGGCGUAAAGCGUGCGCAGGCGGUCCGCAAAGUCUGAUGUGAAAGCCCCGGGCUCAACCUGGGAACUGCAUUGGAAACUAACGGGCUCGAGUGUGGCAGAGGGGGGUGGAAUUCCACGUGUAGCGGUGAAAUGCGUAGAGAUGUGGAGGAACACCGAUGGCGAAGGCAGCCUCCUGGGCCAACACUGACGCUCAUGCACGAAAGCGUGGGGAGCAAACAGG
RNAcentral lists this ribosomal RNA (253 nucleotides) under uncultured bacterium. Its description in RNAcentral is "partial 16S ribosomal RNA". It matches the Rfam family "Bacterial small subunit ribosomal RNA", at positions 524 to 776 of the family's 1533-position model. The record is from RNAcentral.